AGUAGUUCCUCAUAGCGUCGGCGCGCGACGAUGACUUGGGCCAGAAAAAAAAAUGACAUAGCAAGGACGCAGGCGAGGAAAACGCCUUCGGCGACGGAUCAACGCUGCCCCCCGCGCGCGAUGGGACCUUCCGGCUGUGCCGGCGCCGGCGCGGGUGCGUGAUGGUGCGGCCGCCUGGCCUUGAUGAGAACAACGACGGGGACGAAGCUCAUUCCCUCCCCCGCGACCGGCGGCGCCGGUGGCCUGUGUCCGGGCCGCCUGGGCGCCUGGCUGACCGGCUCUCGCGGGGCCGGACCUUCCGAUCCCAUCGGCAGAUUCGGUUCCGAACUUCCAAUCAAUCAUGUGCUCGACGAAAUGCCAGUCUAAGGUUUUCACAGUUUCAUUGAUGUCUCAUGUAGAUGUUUGGCCUGGUGUCAUUGAUGACGGCAAACAGAGGGACUGUGGUUGGCGAUCAUCCAGGUGAUCUGAUAUAUAUCUCGUCAAUUGUACCAAUCUAUUCUGUUCUCACUAACUAAGGGGGUGUUUAGUUCCUCAUAGAAUCCAAAAUGCAAAAUACCAACUACUAUGCAAAAUACCAAAAUUUUCAGUGUCAUGUUUAGUUCCAUUCAAAAUAAAGAAUUUAUCGUUA
Molecule: long non-coding RNA, 628 nt
Organism: Sorghum bicolor (sorghum)
Lineage: Eukaryota; Viridiplantae; Streptophyta; Magnoliopsida; Poales; Poaceae
Exons: 2
Source: RefSeq, a predicted model, not a curated record